RNAcentral lists this ribosomal RNA (508 nucleotides) under uncultured bacterium. RNAcentral's name for it is "partial 16S ribosomal RNA". It matches the Rfam family "Bacterial small subunit ribosomal RNA", at positions 28 to 523 of the family's 1533-position model. The record is from RNAcentral.
GAUGAACGCUAGCUACAGGCUUAACACAUGCAAGUCGAGGGGAAACGAUAUUGGAAGCUUGCUUCCGAUAGGCGUCGACCGGCGCACGGGUGAGUAACGCGUAUCCAACCUGCCCACCACUUGGGGAUAACCUUGCGAAAGUAAGACUAAUACCCAAUGAUAUCUCUAGAAGACAUCUGAAGGAGAUUAAAGAUUCAUCGGUGAUGGAUGGGGAUGCGUCUGAUUAGCUUGUUGGCGGGGUAACGGCCCACCAAGGCGACGAUCAGUAGGGGUUCUGAGAGGAAGGUCCCCCACAUUGGAACUGAGACACGGUCCAAACUCCUACGGGAGGCAGCAGUGAGGAAUAUUGGUCAAUGGGCGAGAGCCUGAACCAGCCAAGUAGCGUGCAGGAUGACGGCCCUGUGGGUUGUAAACUGCUUUUAUAAGGGAAUAAAGUGAGUCUCGUGAGACUUUUUGCAUGUACCUUGUGAAUAAGGACCGGCUAAUUCCGUGCCAGCCGCCGCGGUAA